UACGUAGGGUGCAAGCGUUAAUCGGAAUUACUGGGCGUAAAGCGUGCGCAGGCGGUUCGUUGUGUCGGCGGUGAAAGCCCCGGGCUUAACCUGGGAACGGCCGUUGAAACUGGCGAACUGGAGUGUGGCAGAGGGGGGUGGAAUUCCGCGUGUAGCAGUGAAAUGCGUAGAGAUGCGGAGGAACACCGAUGGCGAAGGCAGGUUUCUGGGCUGACACUGACGCUCAUGCACGAAAGCGUGGGGAGCAAACAGG
This 253-nucleotide ribosomal RNA is filed under the name uncultured bacterium. RNAcentral's name for it is "partial 16S ribosomal RNA". It matches the Rfam family "Bacterial small subunit ribosomal RNA", at positions 524 to 776 of the family's 1533-position model. The record is from RNAcentral.